Molecule: long non-coding RNA, 702 nt
Organism: Carassius carassius (crucian carp)
Lineage: Eukaryota; Metazoa; Chordata; Actinopteri; Cypriniformes; Cyprinidae
Exons: 3
Source: RefSeq, a predicted model, not a curated record
AAAUCCCCAUCUCCUCAAACACAGAGGAAAGCUCAGAACCGGCCUCCUAAAAAGACUCAAAGGCAGUCAAACAGUCAAAGGUUAAGACACAAGUUUAAGACUAAGCAGUGAACUGGCUGCAUCCUUGCAGUCCUUUGUUACAUUCCUACAGCAUCAGGUUGAAGCCAGCAGUCUACAGAAUAACAUCACUCCUCGAGCAGACAGGAUCACACCCGAAGCAGUGACAGGAAUCAGAGCAUUGGAUCAAAUCCCCAGGUUCACUAACUUCCUGUUCUGUUUGUCUGUCAGCAUCAGGUGAUUCAAGCGAAGAUGGAUGGUGGUUUGACCGUUCAUCGCUGGUGCGCUUCCUUCUGCAGCUCGCACAAAAAGAGAGAGCUGCAUCUAAGGGAAGAACAAUUAUGAGAGGAGCAAAAGCAAGACCUUGCAGCCCUCAGACAGGAGAACUAUGUGUUAAAGAGCAAGGUUACCAGCUUCAAAGGAGGUGAUGAAAUUGUUCCUCCAGAUUUAGAAUAAGGAGAGUAUAAAUAUUUUCAACUUUCUUUGUGUGUAAUAAACCUGACAUUUUUUACUGACAUAAACAAAAAAAAAUACACUUAAAUCAUUAAUCAUAAUUAUUUUCAUUACAGUUAGCUGCCAUAGUGAAAUAAUUGUGAUAUACAGCCAUAUUAACCUGUAACAAAAAAAAAAAUUUUCACUACAAAA